Molecule: non-coding RNA, 460 nt
Organism: Pelobates cultripes (western spadefoot toad)
Lineage: Eukaryota; Metazoa; Chordata; Amphibia; Anura; Pelobatidae
Source: the annotation of a GenBank genome assembly
AUUUUAUGUGAAUGUGAUGUAUGGUUUUAGAGUUGUGAAAGUUGGGUAGAAAGUAUGUUUUAACUGUAUGUGUAAUUGAGUUUCCUCUCAGGAUAAGGGGAGGGAAUAUGUGGGAUGUAACUGAUAUGUGAUUGGUUGUUUUAUACCUCCCUGUGGGCGGUCAUGUAUUUGCAAAGACUGUAAUAAAAACCAGGCUGGGUGUGCCAGCAGGAGAGUUCCUGUUUUAACCCUCAAAGUGAAGUGUCGUCUCAUUAUUGGGGGAAGGAUUUAUUGUAUGCUGUUCCAGUUUGACUGCUAGGAGAGUAAACCUAUCCGUAUGGUUCCUAUUCGGCUGUAUACAGCAUUCAUAUGCUAGAGAGGAUUCCUAUGCUUCUCAGAUUCGGUGGUUGUGGUGUCUGCUGCAGUGCUUGAAGUCCUCAGGAAGCGCUAGGAGCAUCCUUUAACGGAGGUACCCAGUCGG